GUGGUCACUUUGGCACACAUAUACUAAGAUUAGAACAUUACAGAGAAGAUUGGCAUGUCACCUGCUCAAUGAUGGCAUGAAAAUUCAUAAAGACUUUCUUAUUUUU
Small nuclear RNA from Vulpes vulpes (red fox), 106 nucleotides. The record is from Ensembl. Lineage: Eukaryota; Metazoa; Chordata; Mammalia; Carnivora; Canidae.